AAAUUCCUCGACAACAGCGUACCACUGUCUGUAUGUACCACAGGUUCCGUACGGGUAGGAGAGGACACUGGAUACACUGUUGAGGGUCCUAGCUGGGAAAGACACUGCUGUAAAAAAAUCCAUCCGAGGUAACGAUGAUGAACAUUCUCUUAAAAAACAACUGCCUAAGGCACUGAUGACACCAAACCAACUGAUUUACAGUUUUUCUGCAAUAUAUCUGCAUACGACGUUGACCCUCCGAUUGGACAGGCACGGAUCUGUAGACACCGCCGAACAAGGCACAUUCUGUACCUGCGCACCUCUGAAUGACAAUAAUGUAGAAAAACAACCGCUACUACAUACUUUACCAACAAGGAAGUGAAAUUUAACCACGUCGUUCUCCUGAGGUGUGACCGAGAUUAUUAAAUACCUUCGAAAGACGUCAAUGGCAACAAAUCUUCUGACCUGGCAGAUACGCCAUGGAUCCUCAGACACCGUUGAUCCUGGGAUUGGACAGUUCCGCCAUGGAUCCUCAGAUACCGUUGAUCCUGGUAUUGGACAGUUACGCCAUGGAUCCUCAGAUACCGUUGGUCCUGGGAUUGGACAGUUACGCCAUGGAUCCUCAGAUACCGUUGAUCCUGGGAUUGGACAGUUACGCCAUGGAUCCUCAGUUACCGUUGGUCCUGGGAUUGGACAGUUACGCCAUGGAUCCUCAGAUACCGUUGAUCAUGGGAUUGGACAGUUACGCCAUGGAUCCUCAGUUACCGUUGGUCCUGGGAUUGGAAGUUACGCCAUGGAUCCUCAGAUACCGUUGAUCCUGGGAUUGGACAGUGACGCCAUGGGUCCUCAGAUACCGUUGAUUCUGGGAUUGGACAGUUACGCCAUGGAGCUGAAGACAAGGGUCACUAUAAUUGGAGAGAAGACAGGUGACAAUUUCCCCGUCGACCACAGGAUUGGGUUGUACCCGAAGAAGAUCGCGUGGUGAACGGUAAAAUCCCUUUUAUGAGAUUUAUAUCAACACAGGUGACGUUAUGGUCUUGGCCUGGUGUAGGUAUCCAGUCCUCAGAUAUUCCCAGCAUUGUGAAUCUACCUCCGUUCCCAGUGUGGGAGAUACACAGGAAGGAGGAGAAAUCACAACAGAGAAUGGAAAGCGAGACUGAAAAGAAAAAUUGCGACAGAGGUUGUUGGGGUUGAAAUUAUAAUAGUCGAAUGGAGAUGGAAUUUCGACAGACCAUUGGAGGCGAUAUCAUGACAGAACAUACAAGCACACUUAGAACUGAUAAGUUCAGAUUGUAACAGACAAUGGGAGGCAAAUACAGUUAUACAUGCAGGUAUGUAUAUACCAGUACAUUUCAGCAGUCGAAGGUCUCCCGAAUGGUGGGAAGGUGAGUAUCGGUGAGUACUCAUUUAAAAAAAAAUUGAGAUAGGUGGUAUCAUAAGCGUCAGGGCUAGACAAUUAAUGUUAACUAGAAAUUACUGUAUUUGUUUCAGAUAGUUCAACGACAACUUCAACAGAAGCUACAACUACAACCACAGAACUUACAACUACAACAACACAACCCACAACUAUAACCACAGAACU
This 1561-nucleotide unclassified non-coding RNA is filed under the name Mizuhopecten yessoensis (Yesso scallop). RNAcentral describes it as "uncharacterized LOC110463584, transcript variant X1". Lineage: Eukaryota; Metazoa; Mollusca; Bivalvia; Pectinida; Pectinidae. The record is from RNAcentral.